Molecule: unclassified non-coding RNA, 380 nt
Filed under: uncultured Gammaproteobacteria bacterium
Lineage: Bacteria; Pseudomonadati; Pseudomonadota; Gammaproteobacteria
Description: contains 16S-23S intergenic spacer region
Source: RNAcentral
UCCGGUUUGUCACCGGCAGUCUCCUUAGAGUUCCCGACAUUACUCGCUGGCAACUAAUGACAAGGGUUGCGCUCGUUGCGGGACUUAACCCAACAUCUCACGACACGAGCUGACGACAGCCAUGCAGCACCUGUGUUAUGGCUCUCUUUCGAGCACGCCUCGAUCUCUCGUGGCUUCCAUACAUGUCAAGGGUAGGUAAGGUUUUUCGCGUUGCAUCGAAUUAAUCCACAUCAUCCACCGCUUGUGCGGGUCCCCGUCAAUUCCUUUGAGUUUUAACCUUGCGGCCGUACUCCCCAGGCGGUCAACUUCACGCGUUAGCUUCGUUACUAAGGGAGUUAAUCCCCCAACAACCAGUUGACAUCGUUUAGGGCGUGGACUAC